RNAcentral lists this ribosomal RNA (305 nucleotides) under uncultured bacterium. Its description in RNAcentral is "bacterial SSU rRNA". It matches the Rfam family "Bacterial small subunit ribosomal RNA", at positions 335 to 660 of the family's 1533-position model. The record is from RNAcentral.
UACCUACGGGGGGCAGCAGUGGGGAUAUUGCACAAUGGAGGAAACUCUGAUGCAGCGACGCCGCGUGAGGGAAGACGGUCUUCGGAUUGUAAACCUCUGUCUUUGGGGAAGAAAAUGACGGUACCCAAAGAGGAAGCUCCGGCUAACUACGUGCCAGCAGCCGCGGUAAUACGUAGGGAGCGAGCGUUGUCCGGAAUUACUGGGUGUAAAGGGAGCGUAGGCGGGCGAGAAAGUUGAAUGUUAAAUCUACCGGCUUAACUGGUAGCUGCGUUCAAAACUUCUUGUCUUGAGUGAAGUAGAGGCAG